This 4261-nucleotide long non-coding RNA is filed under the name Acanthaster planci (crown-of-thorns starfish). RNAcentral describes it as "uncharacterized LOC110982330". Lineage: Eukaryota; Metazoa; Echinodermata; Asteroidea; Valvatida; Acanthasteridae. The record is from RNAcentral.
ACAGUCAUCAACCGAGUUUACUUUUUAAUCAAAAUGACCAUGUUGAAUGCGCUCGUCAUCUUUACCAACAUGACGAAUGCGUUUAACUCGGACAUUUGCCAUAAAACAAGUGUAUUAGGAUGCCUUAAACGAACUUGAUGAAAACAUCCGACACGAUCAUCAACCGAGUUUACUUUUUCAAAAUGACCAUGUUGAAUGCGCUCGUCAUCUUCACCAACAUGACGAAUGCGUUUAACUCGUUCAUUUGCCAUAAAACGAGUGCAUUGGGAUGUCUCAAACAAGUGUUAUUAAAAUAUCCUGUACGAUUAUUUACGAAUUAUUAAACCAACUGAUUGUGCACCGACCUUUCAGUAUCGAAACAAAUCACGUCUUUUCAAAAUGACCAUCUUGAAUGCGCUCGUCAUCUUCAUCAACAUGACGAAUGCGUUUAACCUGGUCAUUUACAAUAAAACGAGUGUAUUGGUGGUCUUAAACGAGUGUGAUUUAAAUAUCCCAUAUGAUCAUCUGUCAUGUCAAUAUCGAAGGAAACCACGUUGUUUCCACAACACUGUGUUUGCUUUCAAAAUGAUUGUAUUGAAAGCGUCAGCUUAAAAAACCUGCACGUCACUAUCUACGAAAAUAAAAUCGCUCCGGAGUAAUUUCGUGACGAAAUCCCCAACGAGAUUGGUGAAUGGUAUAACUUUGCUAUCUUCGAAAACUAGAAAGGUGUAAUUGCCGAAAAUGCUGAACGCUUUCACUCGAAAUCUACGGAGAGGAAAUGAAUACGACGUUAACCACAAAAAUCCUAACAAGCGCUUUUACUUUAAAAAAUGCUGGACACUGUCUUUAUCUGCGAGAUGCUAUCUAAUUACGUAAUGAAGUACCUGGCAAUUUGCCGAAAAACAUAACUGUCAUCAGCUCGAAAUCAUUGAAAAAAUGAAAUGAUUUUCUUUCGCUUUUUACGAAAAUAAAUGGAAGCAAUUUAAGAAUAAAUGCGCGGAAAUUCAAUCAAACGCUUAAACUCUGCUUUCAACGGAAAUAACUGUUGCGUAAUUUUAUAAUAAGAAUUCAGCCAAAUAUGCUCAUUUCAUUUGCAAGGUAGAUCACUUCGGUAUCGCCGAAAAACAAAUCAAAAGAAUUUUCUCUCGCUCUAUUUUAUAUUUAUAUGAACUCGCCGAACUACUUUACCGGGAAAUACUGAAUGAAUUCAUCUCGUUGUCUGCGAAAACUGCCAACUGAUAUCAACUCGUUACCUAAGAAAUUGCUGAAGGCUUUGUACUUUGACAUUUGCAAAAAUUAAAGAAACAUGCCACGUUAUUUCGUAACAAAAUGUCCAACAAAAUUUUCUGACAGAGAUAACAUUAUUACGCAGAAAUAUUUCAAAGCAUUAAAAAAUGAAAAAAGUGCCUAAAUUCAUGAAAAAAGUGGAACGAUAUUCCGAUUUGGCCUCGUUCUCAACAAAAACAAUGAACGCUUUCACUUUGUUAUCUUCAGAAAUAAGAUAGCAGGUAACUUCCCCACGGAAUCGGAAACAAAAUUGCUAAACAAUUUGUACCAAAUGUCUACAUUGAAUUCUGUCAUUUAUUUUACAAAAUAUGAAAGAGCGAGAUGCAGGCCCAACAAAAUCCCCGAGAAUUUCAUCUUAUUUUUCAAACCUUGUGAGGUAGUUUUACAGUAUUUGAAAUCUGAACUUUCAGGAAAUCUGAUUUUUAUCUCGCCGUUACGGAAAUGAAAAACGCCCCCUUAUGCACAUAAAUCGUCAAACGUUUACUUGCAUAAUAGAAAAUAGUAACGGAUUGCCAUCUUACCUACCAAAAAGAGCUAACCGAUUUAUCUUAUCUUAAUUAAAUGCCGGACGAUUUCACCUCGUUGUUGAACAGUUUCCAUUAAUUAUUUACGAAAAGAAGUGAACGAUUUCAAAUUAUCUACCAAAACGAAUUGAACGUUAUCUACGAAUAAAAUGAAAAAGAAAUGGCGAGACAAAACAUACGAAGCCGGUUCCACAUGCACUCCGCAAAAAUGAAUGAUCUCAACUCAUUAUUUUCGCAAACAAAUUGUGAAGCUAUAACGAUUAUCUUCAAAAACAUCUGAGAGGUUUAACGUUGCUCUCUUGGAAAAUAUUACAAAGGGAUAUUCUAAACCGUCAUCUUGGAAAAAUGUUGAUGAAUCUGGUUGGUUGCUCAAGUAGAAGUAGCGUAGUGUUUUAAUGUAUACAGUGAGGCCUAGUCAAAGGAUUAUAAAUUAGGUUUAUAGGUUUAAUAAUUACAGCUUAACCUUGCCACGAAGCGAUGUUCUGUUGGUAAAUAUCAAAAAUAUGUACUUACCAGGCCAGCCAAGGCCUCAGUUUUUCUUUUCCCCUCUACAGCUGGAGAACAAGAAAAGACUGCAUCGCUAUCUGUAAGUUGUGCUUGGACGUUGAUAGUAAAUUGCAAAUACUAAAUACUAAUCGGGCCAGAAAGGCCAAGUGUUUUUUUUUCAUCUCAACAGCUAAACUAGUCAACAAGACAAGGAAGGCCUUGCCAACUCUAUGUCUUGUUUGGAGAGGGGCAGCUUGUCGUUUCAAGAUGGACCUGUCUUGGAUGACGACAAGUGAUUAGAAGUAGGAAGAUCUGGCUGACAACACUUGACUUGCUUUCCAUGUGAACUCUGAAGUUGGGGAUUUCAGCUCCAAGAUUAUCCUUUGAAGCCGGGUGUGGAUCACUGGUUGUCGCAGAUUUCCACCUAAGGCACGAGGCUGUAGACUAGCUACUUCUUAAAUGGCUCCCGGCAGAAUUUCCAUCAAGCUUCUUGAGGACUACCGAGACUGAUGACAACAGUGGCUGAACGCCGACGUUUCCACCAAUUAACCUGGACCCACAUUUAUGGCUGUCCCUACCACGGAAAUUUGUGCUUAAAAUCAAUCAACAUUCUAUGUUUACACCAUCAGUACUGAAGUUGGGUGCCAGCUGAGUAAGCAAAGAAUCCUUUGAAGUCAUAACUGAUAUGUCCAAUGUAUAUCUUUAUUGCAUUGCUGCCUACGCAGUUGACACAGUUACAGUAAUCAGUAGUCGUUACAUGGGAUAGUAACAGUUUUUCUGAAAUUGCGCACUGAAAAACAACGAAAGCAACUCUGGAGCGUUAUAGGCGACUUGCUUUUUUCGAUUUUUUCACCCUUUUUUGAGCAACGUUUGUGUCUGAUUGUGGUAGGGGCCUUUCAUCUGAGCUGAAUAAUGAUAAUUCUCACUUUAAGAGGAACUUAGCUGUCAUUCUUUUAAGGGAGAUGAGGAACUUUGCGAGCAGUUGUGGGCUCUGUUAUGAAGAGAGUAUUCAAAAUAUUUCUUUAAAUAAUUUCAAGCUAUUCUAUUAAGUACCCAAAAGCUAUAAGGAUCAAUAUCAUUUGUUUUCAGUGUUUGAAAGUUCUUAAAAAUCAUUGGCCACAAUUCAACAAUAAGGAUAAUGUUCCACAAUUGACACUGUUAACGAAAAAAAAUUCUUGGCUUAGUUGUUUUUCUGCUAUAGCAAAUCCUAACCGAAAGAGGUGAUUCACAGGAACGAUUAACCUAGAACAUCAUGAAUCUCGCUCAAACAUGUACCCAGUUUUAACUUAUAUUUAAAAAAUGGCAAAACAGAUAAGUUUCAAAAGUCCAUGAUGACCUUUGUCAUUAGUUCACGGGCGUGAGCCCAGGGGUGUGUGUUUGUAAGGGGUGUCGCCCCCAUCUGCCGGUAUUGUCAAAUCGUGGUUCAUUCUCGUAUUUUGUUCUUGCCUUCUUGUAUCCGACAUUUGGGAGGUAGUAUUGUACGGUAGCAGAGUUAGAAGAGACGAAAAACAAUGACCAAUUUGAGAGGAGGAUUUUUAAUAUUAAUCCGUUAGGAUUUAUGAAAAAAUAGACAACCACAGGUGGGAAAUAAACCAUUGGAGGAUUAACUCUGAUAUCAGAAAUGGAAGUUAUCCCAUUUAAAUUGCAAACAGAAGGAAAGUUUCCCAACUAAAUGUCUUCUCAUACUUCAGGUGAAUGUAAAACAAACUUGACGUGACAAAACAUGGACAAGGAAAAGAACAGGGGGGGCUGGAAAUCAGACGAAAAAUACACUCUGAAAUUUCUCCGAGGGUUUGUUGGCAAUUUUAAUAACACCACCUUUCAAAAUGGUCUAGCGACUCCCGUUUGUUACAUAUCGUAGAGAGUACUCGUUGCCCAAAACUCUCCCAACCUUAAUUAUACAACUCAAAGUUAAGGACCACUUUUUUGUGAACUUGUAAUUUUUUCCAAGCAAUGAGAGGCGUAUAGUUUCUCCAUAUUUUGUU